RNAcentral lists this ribosomal RNA (446 nucleotides) under uncultured bacterium. RNAcentral describes it as "partial 16S ribosomal RNA". It matches the Rfam family "Bacterial small subunit ribosomal RNA", at positions 338 to 795 of the family's 1533-position model. The record is from RNAcentral.
CCUACGGGUGGCAGCAGUCGAGAAUCAUUCACAAUGGGGGAAACCCUGAUGGUGCGACGCCGCGUGGGGGAAUGAAGGUCUUCGGAUUGUAAACCCCUGUCAUGUGGGAGCAAAUUAAAAAGAUAGUACCACAAGAGGAAGAGACGGCUAACUCUGUGCCAGCAGCCGCGGUAAUACAGUGGUCUCAAGCGUUGUUCGGAAUCACCGGGCGUAAAGCGUGCGGAGGCUGUUACGUAAGUCGUGAGUGAAAGGCCCCGGCUCAACCCGCGGACUGCACAUGAUACUGCGAAACUAGAGUAAUGGAGGGGGAACUGGAAUUCUUGGUGUAGCAGUGAAAUGCGUAGAUAUCGAGAGGAACACUAGUGGCGAAGGCGGGUUACUGGACAUUAACUGACGCUGAGGCACGAAGGCCAGGGGAGCGAAAGGGAUUAGAUACCCUUGUAGUC